This 253-nucleotide ribosomal RNA is filed under the name uncultured bacterium. RNAcentral describes it as "partial 16S ribosomal RNA". It matches the Rfam family "Bacterial small subunit ribosomal RNA", at positions 524 to 776 of the family's 1533-position model. The record is from RNAcentral.
CACGUAGGGUGCGAGCGUUGUCCGGAAUUACUGGGCGUAAAGCGCGCGUAGGUGGUUCGUUAAGUUGGAUGUGAAAUCCCCGGGCUCAACCUGGGAACUGCAUUCAAAACUGUCGAGCUAGAGUAUGGUAGAGGGUGGUGGAAUUUCCUGUGUAGCGGUGAAAUGCGUAGAUAUAGGAAGGAACACCAGUGGCGAAGGCGACCACCUGGACUGAUACUGACACUGAGGUGCGAAAGCGUGGGGAGCAAACAGG